AAUCUACCUAGUAGAAGGGGAUAGCCCGGGGAAACUCGGAUUAAUACCGUAUACCUCCUUAGGGAGAAAGAGGGCUUAGCUUUGAUGCUCUCGCUAUUAGAUGAGCCUGCGUAAGAUUAGCUUGUUGGUGAGGUAAUGGCUCACCAAGGCGACGAUAUUUAGCUGGUCUGAGAGGACGAUCAGCCACAUUGGGACUGAGACACGGCCCAGACUCCUACGGGAGGCAGCAGUGGGGAAUAUUGGACAAUGGGCGCAAGCCUGAUCCAGCCAUACCGCGUGUGUGAAGAAGGCUUUCGGGUUGUAAAGCACUUUAAGUAAGGAGGAAAAGAUUGUAGUUAAUACCUGCAAUCCGUGACGUUACUUACAGAAUAAGGACCGGCUAAUUCCGUGCCAGCAGCCGCGGUAAUACGGAAGGUCCAAGCGU
This 424-nucleotide ribosomal RNA is filed under the name uncultured bacterium. RNAcentral's name for it is "bacterial SSU rRNA". It matches the Rfam family "Bacterial small subunit ribosomal RNA", at positions 123 to 541 of the family's 1533-position model. The record is from RNAcentral.